RNAcentral lists this long non-coding RNA (213 nucleotides) under Capsicum annuum. Its description in RNAcentral is "long non-coding RNA (CANN_LNC012950)". The record is from RNAcentral. Lineage: Eukaryota; Viridiplantae; Streptophyta; Magnoliopsida; Solanales; Solanaceae.
CAUCGUCCUGAUCGCGUCAUCCCCUGGGCAGUGGCAGUUUGCACAAUAAAUUCCUUCUUUGGAGGGGGAGUGUACACUUGAGUCGGUGCAGUCAUCACUAUAAAUGGGGCUUUCUUGCUGAUACUUAAGGCAGCCACAGCUUUCUUUAUCUUUCCUACCUCUUUCGCCCUUUUGCGCUUUUCGGAGUUCACCUGGGUAAUGGUCUUGCCAGAU